Molecule: ribosomal RNA, 1481 nt
Filed under: metagenome
Description: bacterial SSU rRNA
Rfam family: Bacterial small subunit ribosomal RNA
Source: RNAcentral
AGAGUUUGAUCCUGGCUCAGGAUGAACGCUGGCGGCGUGCCUAAUACAUGCAAGUCGAACGCUUCACAUCGGUGAAGAGUGGCGAACGGGUGAGUAAUACAUAAGUAACCUGGCAUCUACAGGGGGAUAACUGAUGGAAACGUCAGCUAAGACCGCAUAGGUGUAGAGAUCGCAUGAACUCUAUAUGAAAAGUGCUACGGGACUGGUAGAUGAUGGACUUAUGGCGCAUUAGCUUGUUGGUAGGGUAACGGCCUACCAAGGCGACGAUGCGUAGCCGACCUGAGAGGGUGACCGGCCACACUGGGACUGAGACACGGCCCAGACUCCUACGGGAGGCAGCAGUAGGGAAUUUUCGGCAAUGGGGGAAACCCUGACCGAGCAACGCCGCGUGAAGGAAGAAGUAAUUCGUUAUGUAAACUUCUGUCAUAGAGGAAGAACGGUGGAUAUAGGGAAUGAUAUCCAAGUGACGGUACUCUAUAAGAAAGCCACGGCUAACUACGUGCCAGCAGCCGCGGUAAUACGUAGGUGGCGAGCGUUAUCCGGAAUUAUUGGGCGUAAAGAGGGAGCAGGCGGCACUAAGGGUCUGUGGUGGAAGAUCGAAGCUUAACUUCGGUAAGCCAUGGAAACCGUAGAGCUAGAGUGUGUGAGAGGAUCGUGGAAUUCCAUGUGUAGCGGUGAAAUGCGUAGAUAUAUGGAGGAACACCAGUGGCGAAGGCGACGAUCCCGCAUAACUGACGCUCAGUCCCGAAAGCGUGGGGAGCAAAUAGGAUUAGAUACCCUAGUAGUCCACGCCGUAAACGAUGAGUACUAAGUGUUGGGGGUCAAACCUCAGUGCUGCAGUUAACGCAAUAAGUACUCCGCCUGAGUAGUACGUUCGCAAGAAUGAAACUCAAAGGAAUUGACGGGGGCCCGCACAAGCGGUGGAGCAUGUGGUUUAAUUCGAAGCAACGCGAAGAACCUUACCAGGUCUUGACAUCGAUCUAAAGGCUCCAGAGAUGGAGAGAUAGCUAUAGAGAAGACAGGUGGUGCAUGGUUGUCGUCAGCUCGUGUCGUGAGAUGUUGGGUUAAGUCCCGCAACGAGCGCAACCCCUGUUGCCAGUUGCCAGCAUUAAGUUGGGGACUCUGGCGAGACUGCCGGUGACAAGCCGGAGGAAGGCGGGGAUGACGUCAAAUCAUCAUGCCCCUUAUGACCUGGGCUACACACGUGCUACAAUGGACAGAGCAGAGGGAAGCGAAGCCGCGAGGUGGAGCGAAACCCAUAAAACUGUUCUCAGUUCGGACUGCAGUCUGCAACUCGACUGCACGAAGAUGGAAUCGCUAGUAAUCGCGAAUCAGCAUGUCGCGGUGAAUACGUUCUCGGGCCUUGUACACACCGCCCGUCACACCAUGAGAGUCGGUAACACCCGAAGCCGGUGGCCUAACCGCAAGGAAGGAGCUGUCUAAGGUGGGACUGAUGAUUGGGGUGAAGUCGAAACAAGGUA